CAAUUCUUUUUCCUGCUGCCCUCUGUAAUUUGUAAACAUACAUAGAUGUGUAUCUAUCUAUCUAUUAUGUGUAACAACAUGUUUCAUGGCAAAAUUGGCAUAUAGCACCAGCCGUGACCUAGCUAUACUGUUGUCUUUUUAAUUACCCAUAUUAGGAAAAAUAUCAGUUGAAUCACUCUUGUUGCUUGGUUAAUUAAAAUUCGUUUCUUGCUUAAUUAUGUUAGUUUCUGGUUUGAAUUGUUUUCUUGUAGAUUGUAAAUUCAGUGUCUCGUAUUUUGGGGUUGUCUGUCGAUGGUCUCUUUCUCCUUUAAUUUUUUUUUUUUUUUCAUUUACCUUUUAAAGUUUGCUUCUUGGCCACUUUGGACUAUAGUUUUACAAUUGCAUUCUGGGAUUUUUGAAUUUGGACAGUUUUGAGAGUUUCACCAUUGUUCUGACUUCUGAGUGAUGUAGGGUUUUAAUUUGGUGGGCUGGUUUCCAGUUUUGGGGAACUGGGGGGGUACCUUAAUGUGGUAUGAAUUGAUUAUUUAGUAUUUUCUUUUACGAGAGAUUGCCGUCAGUUAUAGCAGUACGGGCUACAGUUUGCAUGCAUUUCUCCAAAUUGAGCUGAAAAAAGAAAGAUUAUUUGAAUUCUAGCAGGCAACAUAAUGAGGAUCUUUUUGUCACUUUUUUAAAGAUUCAGGUGGCAUAGUUAGUUAUUCUUCGUCUUUCUUUUUCGUUCUUUGUCUUUCUGUGUCAUAAUUACUUUCCGCGUCUCUGUUUGUUUAAUGGGUGCACCAGAAACAGUCGAGCUGUAUGCUUGUGUAAAUAUCUGGAUGUGUGUUAUUUAUGCAAUAUGUUUAAUUAAUUGUAAUGAGCUGGAUAAGGAGUAGCAUUACUAAUGGCUUAGUGACAUCUUUGGCAAGUGUGACUCCACAUUCACUUAUAAUCUAUUUUGAAGCAAUUUCUGGAUGGCGUUAGUUCUGGUAUCAAUUUAUCUAGAAAUAUUGAUAGUAAGUGUUGUUAGUUGCUACACAAGUUUUCUCACUGAUUGAAGAUUUUUCUAAUUAUGAUAUUUGCUUUAUUAUUUCCUUAUGAGGGUAGCAGUUUAUGUAUUUUAUAACUAUAAAAAAAUUGUUGAUCAUGGAUCUGGAUUAUAACAUUUUGAAUUUUUAAAAACUUUAGUUUAUUUUAUUUUGUUCUCACUUCUUAGGAAAUUUGUGUUUUCACCCUUAAAGAGCUUGAAAUUACUCAUAGAACAAGGCAGGCUAAAAAGAUGCUGUUUGCUGCUAUUCUAUCUAUUUGUGCAUCUAGUUCGAGGAAGAAGAGUUUCGAGAAAUUGUCCUGAGGUUUUGUUAUAAAUAUGUUGAGGAUAGAGUGUUGGAGUUAAUGAUGCGAUAAGGAAAAAAUGAAGUAGGAAUUCUCUCAUACUUCUCACUUCUAUAUGCACUGUACCUUCCAGAAAACUGAAAGUUAGUGGUUGGUGAUUUGAUCAAGUAAAAAUGACAACUUGAAAUUUUUCCUAAAUAUUUUUUUCAAACAAAUGGAUAAUGGACUUAUUGGGGCUGCUGACCUUUCAUUUGUGUGUAUUCAUUGUGCUGAAGUUGAUGCUUGGUGGGUUAAUUCUUUCAUAUUUCUUAUUUAUGACUUUUUAGUUCAUCCUGGUUGUGCAGGUACAUUGAAACACGAGGAACUUGUACUUUGUUUUAUGAUAAAUAUUAUAUUUCCACAAUUCUCUUCGUUAUUAUUGAGUCAGAUGAUUCAUGAUUGGUUGAUAGUUUUUAUUUUGUAUAUGAUUUAUGGAGCAUAAUUGUGCAUUGAGCUAUGGUUACUUUGCAGACAAUGAUACUUAAUUCUGUUUGAUCUCUCCUCAUCUCUUUCUAGUAAAAUGUGAUUAAUAGCUGUCUUGCCAAAUAUGAAUAUGAAAGAACAUAUUUUUUGUGCUAAUCCCUCUUCGCGAUUAACAUUUAAAUUAGAUAUGAACUUCUAAUAUCAUUUUAAAAUUUCUGUUAAUCCUAGAAUUUCCCUUCUGUGUGGGCAGGCUGUCCUGGAUUACCAACUCAACCUUCAUAACAAGCUAAGCACAAAGUUCUGAAAAAAGCUAAGCAAAAACUUAUUGAUUGCACUUAUUAUAAAAUUUAAGAUGAGCUUGCGCCAUUACAUUUCCUUUCUGGACUGAAUAAAAAUGAGUAGUUUAAGGUUUGCUCUUAGAAAUUAGAACUUCUGAAUGAUAAAUAAUUAAUGCUAUAAGAAUGCACCGAGUUUUGAAAGCCAGCAGGAGUUGUUAAUGUCCUGUUCCCUCUUCUGAGACUGAACUUCAGCCAUCAUAUUUGUUGCUAGGUUAUAACUUUCAUCAUGGGGUCUUCUCUAUAGGUUAAAUGUAUACGAGUGCUGUAAAAAGUUAAACUCCAUUUCACUUGAAGUGCUGUAAGGAUUUUAGCUGAUAACAUAUUUCAUUUUCUCAGGUGCUGUAUCGUAUGUGUAUCUAACCUUCUCCCUACUGCCACUUUCAAUUUUCCUUUGGGCUGUGGAGCGGCAGGCUCAUUUUUGCAGAUUAUGUUAUGCACAAAAGCUGGCAGUACAUUAUUUUAGUGUUCAAUUAUGGAAGUGCUUCCAUGUUCUGGUGCUCAUCAUGUUGGAGAGUCUGAUUGCCCUAAACCAGAACAAGAAGCAGCUUUUAAGGAUGAUGGUGCAGAUUAUGUUAGAACGGAUCUCAAAUUUGAUGACUUAACUCUUACUGUUGGAGAAUCUCAUGAAGUAAGAGAAGAUGGAGGUCGGUUUACACUAGAGGGUUUCCCUACUUUAGAUGGCGGCUCUAAUGAGGAUACAUACUUUGAUUAUGAAAUUGAUGGUCAAACUCUCUCAUGUUACUCCCAUGAUUCUGAAGAUGACAACUUUGAGAAAAUAGAUCAUUUUGCUGAACCUUGCCUUACAUUAGAAAACUCUCACCUAAUCUCAAAUACAAUAGAAGGUGGAGUGUCAAAUGACCACCAGGAGGGUUCACCUCAUUUUGAAAUCAAAGGCCUAGAUGAACCCCAAGCGGUUUGGGUAAAGUGGAGAGGACAGUGGCAGUCAGGGAUUAGAUGUGCAAGGACUGACUGGCCAUUAUCAACUUUAAAAGCAAAGCCAACUCAUGACAGGAAACAAUAUCUUGUGAUAUUCUUUCCUCGCACCCGAAAUUAUUCUUGGGCAGAUGUGCAACUAGUUCGUCCAAUCAACGAAUUUCCCAAUCCCAUUGCAUAUAAGACGCACCAAGUUGGUAUAAAGAUGGUUGAAGAUUUGACUCUUGCUCAUCGUUUUAUCAUGCAGAAGUUGGCUGUGGGGAUGCUAAAUAUUCUUGACCAAUUGAACCGUGAGGCUUUGAUAGAGAGCGCUCGUGAUGUGAUGGUCUUGAAGGAUUUUGCCAUGGAGGCCUCCCGCUGUAAAGAUUAUUUUGACCUUGGAAAGAUGCUUUUGAAACUUCAGAAUAUGAUACUAAUGCGCUGCAUAACUUCAGAUUGGCUACUCAAGUCUUCGGAGUCCUGGAAGCAACGAUGUCAUGAUGCAAAUAGUGCAGAAUGCGUAGAAAUUCUAAAAGAGGAAUUGGCCGACUCCAUCUUAUGGAAGGAGGUAAAUUUACAAUCAAGUGAAGCCGCACAGUUGGACGAGGGAUCUGACUGGAAGAGCUGGAAGUCUGAGGUUAUGAAAUGGUUUUCAGUUUCACAUCCUAUAUCUACAGCCGUGGCCUUGGACCAACCUGUUAGUGAUAGCCCAUUGACCAUGGAACUUCAGACGCCCAAGAAGAGGCCUAAGCUUGAGGUCCGUCGUGCUGAUACACAUGUGUCUGGUCCACAUCAAUCUGUACCUGUUGAGACUGAUGCCUCCUUUUUCAAUGGGUAUGUAAACUCGGCAUUAUUGGAUGCUGAAACUCUGAAAAGAAACAGUCACAUUGAGGAUGCUGCCCUUGCAGGAUCUACAAGUUGUGCAGCUAAUAGUUGGAAUAAUAUAGUAAUUGAGGCUGAAAAUGUGGCGGUUACUAAGACUAGAGAUGUGGACCUGACUCCUUCCAGCGUUGUUACUCAGAAGUUUGCAGAAUCAGGAAAUCAUAAUCGACAAUGCAUGGCUUUCAUUGAAGCUAAAGGAAGACAAUGUGUGAGGUAUGCCAGUGAGGGAGAUGCAUACUGUUGUGUGCAUCUGUCCUCUCGUUUCAUUGGCAGUUCUGCUAAAGCUGAAGUAACACCUCCCACUGACUCACCAAUGUGUGGAGGUACCACAGUGCUCGGAACUAAAUGCAAGCACAGAGCUCUAAUUGGUUCUUCAUUCUGCAAGAAACAUAAGCCGCAUGAUGGCAAAAACAUUGCAUCUCCUGUUAAUAAACUUAAAAGAAAAAGUGAAGAAAAUCAUAUGUAUCCAGAGGGCACAAGUCCUACUACAUUGGUUCUUUCGAGAGAAGACGAAAUUCCUGCCUAUCUAGACCGACUGUUGUUGGAUAGGGGAAAAGGUCACCUUCAAGAAAGCAGUGUCAGCGAGAAGACCGAGCAGCCUCAACAAACCCCUCCCAGCAAUGAAAUGGUGCAAUGCAUAGGUUCAUGGCCCCAGGUUGGCGAACCCUGUCUAGAUAGUCCCAAAAGGCAUUCACUAUACUGUGAUCAACAUAUACCAAGCUGGCUUAAACGGGCAAGAAAUGGCAAGAGUCGGAUAGUUUCCAAGGAAGUGUUCAUGGAACUUCUGAAAAAUUGCCAGUCAAGGGAGCAAAAAUUGCAAUUACACCAAGCAUGUGAACUUUUCUACAGGCUUUUAAAAAGCAUAUUAUCUUUAAGAAAUCCAGUACCUAAGGAAGUACAAUUUCAAUGGGCCAUUGCUGAAGCUUCCAAAGACACCAGAGUAGGGGAAAUUUUGAUGAAAUUGGUCUUCAAUGAAAAGGAGAGGUUAAAGAAGCUAUGGGAUUUUGGAGAUGGUCAAAGCUUGCAAGCUCUAUCGACCAUUGAAGAUUUGGUACCGGUUCAGGUGCAGAUGCUUAAAGAUAGUGUUGAAGAAACUGUGAUCAAGUGUAAAAUAUGCUCAGAGACACUUACUGAUGACCAAGCACUUGGAAAGCACUGGAUGGAUAGCCACAAGAAAGAAGCUCAAUGGCUAUUUAGGGGCUAUGUAUGUGCAAUUUGCCUGGAUUCUUUUACCAAUAGAAAGAUUUUGGAAGCUCAUGUGCAAGAGAGGCAUCAUGUGCAGUUUGUCGAGCAGUGCAUGCUUUUGCAAUGUAUUCCAUGUGGCAGUCAUUUUGGGAAUCCAGAUGAGUUAUGGUUGCAUGUACUCUCAGUUCAUUCCUCCAAUUUGAGUUUGUCAAAUGCCGCUCAACAGCAAGAUACCAGUUCAUGGCACAAAAUAGAGACAAACAAGUUAGGUUCUGUUGAACAUGCGAAGUUUGAUAAUCAGUCAGUUAACCGGAGAUUCAUUUGCAGGUUUUGUGGCUUGAAAUUUGAUUUGUUACCUGAUCUUGGUCGCCAUCAUCAAGCUGCUCAUAUGGGAGAGCAGACUUCCAGUGGUCCCCGCCUGAAAAAGAAGGGUAUUCAAUUUUAUGCUCAGAAACUGAAAUCGGGUAGACUGACUCGUCCUGGGUUUAAAAAGGCUUUGACUUCAGCAUCAUAUAAGAUUAGGAAUAGAAGUGUGCAAAAUUUAAAGAAGCGUAUCCAGGCUUCGAGUUCUAUUGUCCCAAUGGAAAUCAUGGUGCAAACUUCUGUACCAGAUGCUGCUACUCUUGGUAGAUUGGCAGAUUCUCAAUGCUCAGCUGUAGCUAAGAUAAUGAUUUCUGAAAUUAAAAAAACAAAACUGCGUCCCAAUAAUUCAGAAAUUCUGUCAAUUGCCAGCUCAGCUUGCUGUAAGGUUAGUCUGCAAGCUUCAUUAGAGGAAAAGUAUGGAGUCCUGCCUGAAAGGUUGUACCUAAAAGCUGCUAAACUAUGCAGCGAGCAUAAUAUUAUAGUUGAAUGGCACCAAGAGGAUUUUAUUUGUCCUAAAGGGUGUUCGCAAAGUGUUAGGUCUCAGUUUUUUUCUCCGCUGGUUCCAUCAUCAAACAUUACUUUCAAGGCUAGAUGUUCUCCCAUACCUAACCUUUUGAGUUCAGAAUGGACAUUGGAUGAAUGUCAUUGUGUUAUUGAUUCCCGGCAUUUUUCCUUGGAUCUCUCUGAGAAAAAUGUUAUUUUAUGUGAUGAUAUAAGUUUUGGACAAGAACCUGUGCCGAUAGCUUGUGUGGUGGAUGAAAAUAUUUUGAAUGCCGAGGGGCCUGAUGGGCAAAUUACAGAGUAUUCUUUUCCUUGGGAAAGCUUUACUUAUGUUAGAAAGCCAAUGCUUGAUGAUAACCUUGUUCUUGAAUCAGAGAGUUCACAAUUGGGGUGUGCUUGUGCUCAUUCAACAUGUUCUUCUGAAACAUGUGAUCAUGUGUAUCUUUUUGACAAUGAUUAUGAAGAUGCAAGAGAUAUUUAUGGAAAGCCUAUGCACGGAAGGUUUCCUUAUGACGAGAGAGGUCGCAUUAUAUUGGAGGAGGGUUAUCUUGUAUACGAGUGCAAUCAGAGGUGCUCUUGCAGCAGAGCUUGCCAGAACAGGGUUUUGCAAAACGGAGUGCAAGUGAAGUUGGAAAUAUUUAAAACGGAGAGAAAGGGUUGGGCAGUAAGGGCUAGGCAAGGAAUUCCUUGUGGUUCCUUUGUGUGCGAGUACAUUGGUGAGGUCAUAGAUGAAAAGGAAGCAAAUGAGAGACGCAGCAGGUAUAGUACAGAAGGUUGCAGGUAUUUUUAUGAGAUUGAUGCUGCCAUCAAUGACAUGAACAGACUAAUGGAAGGGCAGGUCUCUUAUGUGAUUGACGCCACAAAUUAUGGAAAUGUUUCUCGUUACAUUAACCAUAGCUGUUCUCCCAAUCUCAUGAAUCAUCAAGUUCUAAUAGAAAGCAUGGACAGUAAGCUAGCACAUAUCGGUCUCUAUGCAAGCCGUGAUAUAGCUUUGGGUGAGGAAUUGACGUAUGAUUUCCGAUAUAAGCUGUUACCCGGAGAAGGAUGCCGUUGCGAAUGUGGGGCUUCAAAUUGCAGGGGAAGGCUUUACUAAGGUGUUGAGAGGGUGAAAGUGGUUUCAGUCAUGGACUGGAGCCUUAAGCAGAGGAAUCUAACGUAGAUGAAUUCAGUGUCUGAGGAAUUGAUAAAAAUGACCAGCGCUCUCCACAAAAGGAACUAAAGGCAGCGUCGACCAAAGUAUGAAGAGUCAGCGCCGAGUAAAUAUCUGACAUAGUAUCCGACAAAAGUUGCUAGUUAGUUAUUGUUAAUGCUAAUGUUGAAAGGAACGCGAUGAAGGACAUGCAGCGUACAUGAGAUGCUUGUUUUACCAUUUUAACCUUCUUGUAUCUCUCUUAUAAAUAGCUAGUUCUCUAUAUUUGUAAGGUUUCCGCUAUCUGAAUGCAACAAUCCUCAAAAUUUCUCUCUAGUGUUUUUCG
Salvia miltiorrhiza (redroot sage) is the source of this 7423-nucleotide RNA transcript. It is a transcript of the gene named histone-lysine N-methyltransferase SUVR5, with no coding region annotated. The transcript is spliced from 12 exons. The record is from RefSeq and is a predicted model, not a curated record. Lineage: Eukaryota; Viridiplantae; Streptophyta; Magnoliopsida; Lamiales; Lamiaceae.